RNAcentral lists this ribosomal RNA (695 nucleotides) under uncultured bacterium. RNAcentral describes it as "bacterial SSU rRNA". It matches the Rfam family "Bacterial small subunit ribosomal RNA", at positions 32 to 715 of the family's 1533-position model. The record is from RNAcentral.
AACGCUAGCUACAGGCUUAACACAUGCAAGUCGAGGGGCAGCAUUUUAGUUUGCUUGCAAACUAAAGAUGGCGACCGGCGCACGGGUGAGUAACACGUAUCCAACCUGCCGAUAACUCGGGGAUAGCCUUUCGAAAGAAAGAUUAAUAUCCGAUGGUAUAUUAAAACCGCAUGGUUUUACUAUUAAAGAAUUUCGGUUAUCGAUGGGGAUGCGUUCCAUUAGUUUGUUGGCGGGGUAACGGCCCACCAAGACUACGAUGGAUAGGGGUUCUGAGAGGAAGGUCCCCCACAUUGGAACUGAGACACGGUCCAAACUCCUACGGGAGGCAGCAGUGAGGAAUAUUGGUCAAUGGACGAGAGUCUGAACCAGCCAAGUAGCGUGAAGGAUGACUGCCCUAUGGGUUGUAAACUUCUUUUAUAUGGGAAUAAAGUAUUCCACGUGUGGGAUUUUGUAUGUACCAUAUGAAUAAGGAUCGGCUAACUCCGUGCCAGCAGCCGCGGUAAUACGGAGGAUCCGAGCGUUAUCCGGAUUUAUUGGGUUUAAAGGGUGCGUAGGCGGAAUAAUAAGUCAGUUGUGAAAGUUUGCGGCUCAACCGUAAAAUUGCAGUUGAUACUGUUAUUCUUGAGUGUACAUAAGGUAGGCGGAAUUCGUGGUGUAGCGGUGAAAUGCUUAGAUAUCACGAAGAACUCCGAUUG